CGUAGGGUGCGAGCGUUAAUCGGAAUUACUGGGCGUAAAGCGUGCGCAGGCGGUUUUGCAAGCCGGAUGUGAAAUCCCCGGGCUUAACCUGGGAAUGGCAUUUGGGACUGCAAGGCUGGAGUGCGGCAGAGGAGACUGGAAUUCCUGGUGUAGCAGUGAAAUGCGUAGAUAUCAGGAGGAACACCGAUGGCGAAGGCAGGUCUCUGGGCUGACACUGACGCUCAUGCACGAAAGCGUGGGGAGCAAACAGGAUUAGAUACCCUGGUAGUCCACGCCCUAAACGAUGUCGACUGGUUGUUGGGGGUUUGACACCCUCAGUAACGAAGCUAACGCGUGAAGUCGACCGCCUGGGGAGUACGGCCGCAAGGUUA
Molecule: ribosomal RNA, 371 nt
Filed under: uncultured organism
Description: bacterial SSU rRNA
Rfam family: Bacterial small subunit ribosomal RNA
Source: RNAcentral